UACGAGAGGCGCAAACGUUAUUCGGAAUUACUGGGCUUAAAGAGUUCGUAGGCGGCGCAGAAAGUAGGGUGUGAAAGCCCUCGGCUCAACCGAGGAAUUGCGCCCUAAACUACUGUGCUUGAGGAACCUAGAGGUGAGCAGAACUGAUGGUGGAGCGGUGAAAUGCGUUGAUAUCAUCAGGAAUACCGGAGGCGAAGGCGGCUCACUGGGGGUUUUCUGACGCUGAGGAACGAAAGCCAGGGGAGCGAACGGG
Molecule: ribosomal RNA, 253 nt
Filed under: uncultured bacterium
Lineage: Bacteria
Description: partial 16S ribosomal RNA
Rfam family: Bacterial small subunit ribosomal RNA
Source: RNAcentral